This 253-nucleotide ribosomal RNA is filed under the name uncultured bacterium. RNAcentral describes it as "partial 16S ribosomal RNA". It matches the Rfam family "Bacterial small subunit ribosomal RNA", at positions 524 to 776 of the family's 1533-position model. The record is from RNAcentral.
UACAGAGGUCUCAAGCGUUGUUCGGAUUCAUUGGGCGUAAAGGGUGUGUAGGUGGCGCGCUAAGUCGGGUGUGAAAUUUCGGAGCUUAACUCCGAAACUGCAUUCGAUACUGGCGUGCUUGAGGACUGGAGAGGAGACUGGAAUUCAUGGUGUAGCAGUGAAUUGCGUAGAGAUCAUGAGGAAGACCAGUGGCGAAGGCGGGUCUCUGGACAGUUCCUGACACUGAGACACGAAGGCCAGGGGAGCAAACGGG